RNAcentral lists this ribosomal RNA (515 nucleotides) under uncultured bacterium. RNAcentral's name for it is "bacterial SSU rRNA". It matches the Rfam family "Bacterial small subunit ribosomal RNA", at positions 8 to 502 of the family's 1533-position model. The record is from RNAcentral.
AGAGUUUGAUCCUGGCUCAGAACGAACGCUGGCGGCGUGCUUAACACAUGCAAGUCGAACGAGAAAGGGGUCUUCGGACCCUAAGUAGAGUGGCGCACGGGUGAGUAACGCGUAGGUAAUCUAUCCUUACAUUUGGGAUAACAUCGGGAAACUGGUGCUAAUACCGAAUGGUCUUCAUUGCUUUGGGGCGAUGGAGUAAAGGUGGCCUCUUCAUGAAAGCUACCGUGUAGGGAUGAGCCUGCGUACCAUUAGCUAGUAGGUGGGGUAAUGGCCCACCUAGGCUACGAUGGUUAGCGGGUCUGAGAGGAUGAUCCGCCACACUGGAACUGGAACACGGACCAGACUCCUACGGGAGGCAGCAGUGAGGAAUAUUGCGCAAUGGGGGAAACCCUGACGCAGCGACGCCGCGUGAGUGAGGAAGGUUUUCGGAUCGUAAAGCUCUGUCAGAAGGGAAGAAGUGUUAUAUGGUUAAUACUCGUAUAAUUUGACGUACCUUCAGAGAAGCACCGCUAACU